RNAcentral lists this ribosomal RNA (497 nucleotides) under uncultured bacterium. RNAcentral describes it as "partial 16S ribosomal RNA". It matches the Rfam family "Bacterial small subunit ribosomal RNA", at positions 28 to 507 of the family's 1533-position model. The record is from RNAcentral.
GAUGAACGCUGGCGGCGUGCCUAAUACAUGCAAGUCGAGCGAACAGAUGAGGAGCUUGCUCCUCUGACGUUAGCGGCGGACGGGUGAGUAACACGUGGAUAACCUACCUAUAAGACUGGGAUAACUUCGGGAAACCGGAGCUAAUACCGGAUAAUAUAUUGAACCGCAUGGUUCAAUAGUGAAAGACGGUUUUGCUGUCACUUAUAGAUGGAUCCGCGCCGCAUUAGCUAGUUGGUAAGGUAACGGCUUACCAAGGCAACGAUGCGUAGCCGACCUGAGAGGGUGAUCGGCCACACUAGAACUGAGACACGGUCCCGACUCCUACGGGAGGCAGCAGUAGGGAAUCUUCCGCAAUGGGCGAAAGCCUGACGGAGCAACGCCGCGUGAGUGAUGAAGGUCUUCGGAUCGUAAAACUCUGUUAUUAGGGGAGAACAAAUGUGUAAGUAACUAUGCACGUCUUGACGGUACCUAAUCAGAAAGCCACGGCUAACUACGUG